RNAcentral lists this small RNA (847 nucleotides) under Pan troglodytes (chimpanzee). RNAcentral describes it as "retained intron". Lineage: Eukaryota; Metazoa; Chordata; Mammalia; Primates; Hominidae. The record is from RNAcentral.
UCUUUUUCUCCCCUAGACUCUUCACUGCCUGAGGACAUUCCGGUUUUUACUGCUGCAGCAGCUGCUACCCCAGUUCCAUCUGUAGUCCUAACCAGGUAUCUGUGUCCCCUGACUACCUGAGGUGGGUGGAGGAAGGGGUUCUGGUUUUUGGUCCCUCAGUCCUUGGACCCAAGCUGGUCAGGCAUGAGGAAGUCUGAGAAUAAACAGAAUGGAAUAGUUGGGAACCAGAACUUGAAGAAAUCACAGCAGCUGGUAAGCUCUUGGGACAAGAGGUCAUUUGUGAUUUUCAGACAGCCUUAUGAAUGAUGUCCGACCAUGUUUAAGGGUCUUGCAGGUCCCAUUUUCUUCUGGGUUGACCACAUGUCAGUUCUGUGUUUGAGGCCCGUCAGGCACUUCUGGGACUGGAAAUACAGCUCUUCUCCCACUGUCCUGGCUUAGAUGAUACCCAAGUGUUCCAGAAUGGAAAUGGGCUGGGGCCUGGAGAAGGCCUCCCUUGAGUGGGAGGGGGAAGGAAGCCGGCUAGAGCAGGAGGGAGCAGGCUAGAUGUGUGGACAGACAGCUGCCCACCCGGUGGAAUCGGGAGAUGGUAGUCAGGAAUCUAAAGUAGUGGUUAGGUUUGGAGCUCAUGGGCAGGCUCAGAUGGAACCCUUCACCUCAACUUUGGCCCUGUGCCUUUUCCUUCAGGAGCCCCCCCAUGGAACUGCAGCCCCCUGUCUCCCCUCAGCAGUCUGAGUGCAACCCCGUUGGUGCUCUGCAGGAGCUGGUGGUGCAGAAAGGCUGGCGGUUGCCGGAGUACACAGUGACCCAGGAGUCUGGGCCAGCCCACCGCAAAGAAUUCACCAUGACC